Long non-coding RNA from Platichthys flesus (European flounder), 724 nucleotides. RefSeq lists it as uncharacterized. The record is from RefSeq and is a predicted model, not a curated record. The transcript has 4 exons. NCBI's taxonomy places the organism in Eukaryota, Metazoa, Chordata, Actinopteri, Pleuronectiformes, Pleuronectidae.
GGACCGGUUUGUAAAAGAGGAAGAGGCAUGACAAGCACCUUACUGAACACAACAGCAGCAGAGAGUGUGACAGUGUGAGCUGUAGGUAAACUGGGAGUAAUGGGAGCAGCCCGGAUCUCAUGAUGGAGAACAACUGUGACCGUCAUCAUCACAGCAUUACAAAUCGCAGCAGCAAAGCCUCCAACAAAUCGGAAUCAUCACAUAAAUGAAGUAUCCACAACAACCAAAGACAUAAAAGUGGACAACAUCAGCGGACUAUGAGACAAUGACGCCUGGUGAGGGAACUGAACCUGAACCCCGCUGCACCUGUUCAUCUUCGGACUGUGCUGCUCUCUCAGCUCCACCGCUGCCACCUCCUGACCUCUGCCCCCACUCCACGUCAAAGAACCGGGAAUCCACUGUCAGUCUUGGCGAAUAUGCUGAAGUGGAUGUACGAGGCCACGUCAGCCAGUACCAACAUCUGGAUCUCAGCCAGUUGGAGGAUCAUGUGUAUCACGCACUCUGUGGUCCCAAAGAUGGACCCAUGCAGAUGAACUGUUGAUACCACUCAGUUUAUUUACAACUUGGGUCUUGAUUCUAAAUAUUUAGACAGCACCUCAAAUCGUCAAUUAUAACCUCCUACUUUCUGAAAUACCUUCGUGCUAAUAGAAUAUUAAUAAUAUUAUAUGUGGCCAAAACACAAAUGUUUUAUAUGUUUUGAAUUAACCUAAACUGUUUGUUAACU